CCUACGGGAGGCAGCAGUGGGGAAUAUUGGACAAUGGGCGCAAGCCUGAUCCAGCCAUGCCGCGUGUGUGAAGAAGGCCUUCGGGUUGUAAAGCACUUUUAUCCGGAAAGAAAAGCUUUGGGUUAAUACCCUGAAGUCAUGACGGUACCGGAAGAAUAAGCACCGGCUAACUUCGUGCCAGCAGCCGCGGUAAUACGAAGGGUGCAAGCGUUACUCGGAAUUACUGGGCGUAAAGCGUGCGUAGGUGGUUUGUUAAGUCUGAUGUGAAAGCCCUAGGCUCAACCUGGGAAUUGCAUUGGAUACUGGCAGGCUAGAGUGCGGUAGAGGAUAGUGGAAUUCCCGGUGUAGCAGUGAAAUGCGUAGAGAUCGGGAGGAACAUCUGUGGCGAAGGCGACUAUCUGGGCCAGCACUGACACUGAGGCGCGAAAGCGUGGGGAGCAAACAGGAUUAGAUACCCUGGUAGUCCACGCCCUAAACGAUGCGAACUAGAUGUUGGUGCACUAGCGACUCAGUAUGAGACACGACGUUAGUUACGUCCGCCGUCGGGAGGUACGGUCGGCGAGACGUAGAACGUACGAACGUAGUAAGUUAGUACGGACGUUGAGACGUUGCCGACGGACGACGACGAGGGAGGAGGG
This 638-nucleotide ribosomal RNA is filed under the name uncultured bacterium. RNAcentral's name for it is "bacterial SSU rRNA". The stretch from base 1 to 544 matches the Rfam family "Bacterial small subunit ribosomal RNA", at positions 338 to 873 of the family's 1533-position model. The record is from RNAcentral.